This 429-nucleotide ribosomal RNA is filed under the name Gemmatimonadota bacterium. Its description in RNAcentral is "Gemmatimonadetes bacterium partial 16S ribosomal RNA". It matches the Rfam family "Bacterial small subunit ribosomal RNA", at positions 355 to 776 of the family's 1533-position model. Lineage: Bacteria; Pseudomonadati; Gemmatimonadota. The record is from RNAcentral.
UAGGGAAUCUUCGGCAAUGGACGAAAGUCUGACCGAGCAACGCCGCGUGAGUGAAGAAGGUUUUCGGAUCGUAAAACUCUGUUGUUAGAGAAGAACAAGGACGUUAGUAACUGAACGUCCCCUGACGGUAUCUAACCAGAAAGCCACGGCUAACUACGUGCCAGCAGCCGCGGUAAUACGUAGGUGGCAAGCGUUGUCCGGAUUUAUUGGGCGUAAAGCGAGCGCAGGCGGUUUCUUAAGUCUGAUGUGAAAGCCCCCGGCUCAACCGGGGAGGGUCAUUGGAAACUGGGAGACUUGAGUGCAGAAGAAGAGAGUGGAAUUCCAUAUGUAGCGGUGAAAUGCGUAGAUAUAUGGAGGAACACCAGUGGCGAAGGCGGCUCUCUGGUCUGUAACUGACGCUGAGGCUCGAAAGCGUGGGGAGCAAACAGG